Molecule: small RNA, 81 nt
Filed under: Flavobacterium flevense
Lineage: Bacteria; Pseudomonadati; Bacteroidota; Flavobacteriia; Flavobacteriales; Flavobacteriaceae
Description: Flavo-1 RNA
Rfam family: Flavo-1 RNA
Source: RNAcentral
UUGUGGGUUAGGGAUAGCAGCGGCAUCCUUUGUCUCGUUCUUUAAAACGAGACAAAGAUAUAGCGGAUAGCCCGACCUCGU